CCCGGCCUGGGCGGCCGCCGGCCGGGCCCGUGGCGCUUCCUCUCCCCGGGACGCGGCGGCGGCACCUGCGGCGAGGGACGGCGGCGCUGCGGCGGCUCGGGCCGGGCCGAGGGGCCGCUCACCCGGCGCGGCGGCCCACGACGGGCUGGGGGCUGCGGAGCCGGGCCGGGGCCCGCACUCGGCUCCCGCCAGCCCCGCACUUCCGCGCUCCCGGCCCGCCCCGCGCCCGCCGCCACCGGGGGCGGCGCCGCCACCGCCGGGGCUGCGGCCACCCCGCAAGGACCGGCCCCGCACGGACCGGAGCGGACCGGGGCCGCGUGUCUGGCCCGCUCCCACGGGGACGCUGCAGAACGCGCCCUUCGCCAGGAUGCCAGGGCUGCCCGCACCUCCACGGCCACGAGUGACCUCUGCCCCUCGCCAGGGGGGUCCUCACGCCCCCUCCCACACUCCUUACAGAUGGGGAAGAAGGUGGUGAGAAAAAGCCAAACCUAACACAACUGGUGGAUCGAGGAAGUAUUUUCUCCCUCAAUGUCGUUUCCUUUGUGCAGAAUGAGAUAGUUAAACUGCAAAGGCAGGAAAACCUGCUACACCCUGUCCAUUCAGUCUGACCCAGAGCAAUUCCUGCUCCAACAAGGACCGGUCCCCUCUUUCCAAGGGUACAGGAAAGGAGAUGCAUAGCAUAGGACCUUCCUUUGUGCUCAUCUCCCCAGCUGUCUGAGAUCACAGAGACCCUCCUUUUUCCUAUUUUCUCCAGGGUCCAGCUAGGCAUUUGGAAAUAUACCAUUGCAGGUUGAAAACCUAUAAAGAACUUUAAAUUAAGGUUCUGUCUGAAUAUGUGCCAGCAACUCUGUGGCACAUGUAUGCUGCAGUUAUUAUCUAGGCAACACACAUAGCUAAAAAAAAUUAUCAUUAAAUUAACUCCAGCACUUUCCCAUAGCUAACGAUGACACUUCUGGUUGAUGCAGAAUCUCUCCAAACAGCUGGAGGUUGCUGUGUUCCCUGUUUCUUCAGGGAAAUUUGGAAUCCUUCUCCAAAUACCUCCUCAGAAAGCCCAUUGUGCUUGUCAUCUGUCAGAGCCCUGCCCUGGCACCAUCUGUUAAUAUUUGGAGAAGAACCAGAGGUGAGAGCUUGUUGUCAGAGUGCAGGAAGAAGCCUGUCAUUUUAGAAAGGGAGGAACUUAAGGGUGCAGGAUGGGAAAGGGGAGGAUAAAUUGUGCGAAUGAAGUGAGAAAACAUCUGCAGCUGUGUGAGUCGGCGCUGGAUUUGGAGGCAGAGGAAGAAAGCUUUGCUAACGAGAUCUGAAGCCUCGUUUCUGGCUGCCUCAGGCUGCAGCAGCUGAACGCAUUUCCCCUGGAGCCAGGAGCAGAGGGCACUGUCACUCUCUGAGCAGACUGACGGGAGAGCAGAUGCUGUGAGAGGAAGCUGUCUCAGCAGGCAACACCAUUCGGAGCUUGAAAGGGCAGAAAAAGAAUAUAACCCUUUGCACGUCUGGGGGGAGAAUCAAACACCACAGCAGGCUCUUUCUCAUCACAUCUGAGCUAAACCUGUGCUCACCAUCCAGGCUUUUCUCCAUUGAUGGGGUGCAGCACUGAACCAUGGCAUAAUCAGGGUGGGAAGGGAGCUCUGGGGGUCUCUGGUCCAGCCGCCCACUCUGAGCAGGAUGUCAGUCAGCUGCUCAGCACCCUGUCCCAUCCACAGUCUCACAGAAUGGAGAUUGCCCACCUCUGGGUCCAUGUGGAACUACUUGAUUCCCUUCACAGAGCAAAUAAUUUUCCUAGUAUCUAAUCAGAACUUUCCUCUUUGCUAUUUGCGUUUUGGUCUCUCAUUCCAUCACUCUGCACCUCUGAGUCUGUGCCCUCCUAUGAGGUAGUGAAGAAAACAAGGAAGUCUCCAUUUGUUUAGCCUUUCCCUGAAGCCUAAAACCCAGCUUCUCUCAUCCUCUUCUCCAAUAUCAGGUGUCUGAGCUCCUUCAAUCUUUUUGGUGGCCUUCACUGGACUUGAUCCAGCAUAUUAGUGUCUUUCCUGUGUUUGGGAAUAUGAAACCAGACACAGUUCCAGGCCCGAAGCAGAAAUCUCCCUAUUCUGGACACCUUUCUUAGCUAGUCUGGGCUCUGUUCUAUCAGAUCAAUAUGCCAAGAGACUGGGCUCAUGGUAAAAUAAUGUGUAAUUCAUAUGCUGGGACUUCAGGUUUCCUGAAAUUGUGAGACCUGAAAGCACUCUUUCUCCUUCCAGAGAAAGGGAUGGGAGCAAGAGAAUUCCAGCUUGGGACCUCCCAGCCCUGCAUCCUGCCUCCAACAUUUGGGCAACAGCUAGAGCAGAGCAAAGGGUGUGAGAUCAGGGCAUGCACACACAAUAUUCCUAUGCAGCUCAAACAUUUUUUGAACUGAAGGUAAUAUCUUCAUACUGCAUAAACUUCAGGAGAUUUUCUUUCCAGAGAUUUGUCCUGUGGAUUUUAUUAAUCCCUGUUGACAUUGAACAACCACAGCCAUGUGUGGGAGUAGCCUAAAGCCAAGGGAAGGGAGGAAGCAUCUCCCUUUCACUUAUUUUGUCUCCUGCUAAUUUGACUUGCUCUCCUUGUCCCUCUCAGCUGUGUAUACCUCAGUCAUGGGCACCUCAGUAGUUUCUUCCAGGCUGAAGAAUCCCAGUCCACACAGUUACCCUUCACGCAGCAGCCAGUCUGGACAUUGGCUUGUCCUUGCUGUCCUUCUACAAGUUCUGUGUUUCGAUUUUUUGGGGGUCUGCUGUUUUCUGUUUGAGAUGGAUUAUUUCUAAGUGACAUUAGCUCACACAGAGCCCACUGCUACCUAUUGAAAGUGAGUAUGGUGGUUUCCCCCAUGGAUCAUGUCAUAUUUGUUUUAUGUAAUUUCAUCUGCUAUUUCACUGCCUGGUGAAGGUGAGGCCUUCAGUCAGCCCUCUGGGACCACUCUUCUCCAUAUUUCCUAGGACCACAUCCAAACAUCUUAGUAGGUCCAUCUCCUUUGCAUUUGCCAAGAUCAAGCAUCCUCUCUGGUAUCACAAAUCCUGCAAUUUACAUGCCUGAUAAUGUGAUCACCUGCCACUGCUGUGUGUCUGUGCAUACCCCAAUGCCAGUCUCUCUCCAAAGUCAUGUUCCAAAUCACAGUAUUUCCUGUGGAAUCAGGAGUGUCCUGCACCAGCUGACCUAUCACCUGCCCUGCUGCUUGCUGCCACAUCUUCUGCCUCUCCUGCCCAGGGAGGAUCAGCUCUAAUCAUGUUGUAUUUCCUGGAAUGGAGGAAUUUACCAUCAUUUCCCUGCUUCUGCCAUAAUCUCUGCUGUGCAGCCAUGGACAGGCAGCUAAUCCACAGUGAGUCUGCUCCAUCCAUCAUUCCAGCAUUGGAGGGAUACGGCGCCACCAGUGACCAGUGACGUGUCUGUAGCGCAUGAUGCAAGAACUUGACAGAGAAAAGUAGAACAAGAAAAUAAUUCCAUUUUAUUACCCACUAUAUUUUCAUUUGGUAUUAAAUCACUACUAAUAAUUGUUUGUGACAUGUGACAAUUUGACAAUUGUGACACCUUUUAUAUCUCUCUUUUGUGCUGUCUAUUUUUAUGGAGAUUGAAUAAAUACCAUCACAGAUUUUCUCUUUGACA
Molecule: long non-coding RNA, 3606 nt
Filed under: Parus major (Great Tit)
Lineage: Eukaryota; Metazoa; Chordata; Aves; Passeriformes; Paridae
Description: lncRNA (ENSPMJG00000007202.1)
Source: RNAcentral